This 254-nucleotide ribosomal RNA is filed under the name uncultured bacterium. Its description in RNAcentral is "partial 16S ribosomal RNA". It matches the Rfam family "Bacterial small subunit ribosomal RNA", at positions 524 to 776 of the family's 1533-position model. The record is from RNAcentral.
CACGUAGGGGGCGAGCGUUGUCCGGAUUUAUUGGGCGUAAAGAGCUCGUAGGCGGCUCGGUAAGUCAGGUGUGAAACCUCCAGGCUCAACCUGGAGACGCCACCUGAUACUGCCGUGGCUAGGGUCCGGUAGAGGAGCGUAGAAUUCCUGGUGUAGCGGUGAAAUGCGCAGAUAUCAGGAGGAAUACCAGCGGCGAAGGCGGCGCUCUGGGCCGGUACUGACGCUGAGGAGCGAAAGCGUGGGGAGCAAACAGG